AGAUACUUUCAACAGCAGAGUCGACGCUACCCAGAUUCACUUUGGACGUGUGAAGGAGGCAGCAACCACGUGGAACUCGUGUCUCGAACACAGUGCAGUCUUCACACCUCAGCGCUGGGCAUCGGGAGGCAGCCUUCAUGUGAUGCUACCCUAUGAGGCCAGCAAGGGCUCCCGGGAAAUGAAAACGGCAGCAGCCGGCACCCAGUCCCAGCAGCAGACAGGAGCAGGUUAAUCCACACCAUGGACACUGUCUAUGCAAAGCGGAUAUUUGGUCCCAGAUGGCUCAACCCUUGGCUAUUACACAUCCUUAAAGCUGACACUGGCAUAGCACAUGGGUAUGUAACACUUAAAGUAUUGCUGCAACCCUUCAGGAAGGAUGUCCUGGAAAGCUGCACACCCCCAGGCGUCAGCCUUCUGACAUCGCAUGAGGAGGGGCUAAAUGACAUUUGGAGACCAUGUGUGCUGAUGUGGUUUGGAUGUGUGUCCCUCCAAAACGUAUGUGAAAUGUGAUCCCCAGUGUUAGAGGGGAGGCCUGGUGGGAGGUACUAGAUCACAGAAGUGAAUCAGUCAUGUCAUGAACAGUUCAGCACCAACCCCUUGAUAUGAGUUAGUUCUCACUCAGUCAGUUCACCUGAGCUCUGGGUGUUUAAACGUCUGGGAACCCCCUCCUCUCCUGCUCCCACUCUUGCCAUGUGAUGCUUUGGCCCCCUUCACCCACCACCACAAUUGGAAGCUUCCUGAGGCCUCACCAGAAGCAGACGCCAGCACCAUACUUCCUGUACAGCCUGCAGAACUGGUUUCAUCUGGAGCCUCUCUGGUGGGUAGUGCCUCCUUGGCUCACUCUUGCCUGUGAGUUUCUCAGACUUUGCUUGAUCCUGGUGACCCUGGCAGUUCUGAAGAGCACUUGUCAGCAGGCAUCCAUUUGACGGCACAGAAGACGGAUGUGACAGGACCCUGGCUCACAAAGAGCUGCUCAGGCCCAGGCUCUGCAGCAGGGCUGUGCCCAAAGCCCCAGCUCCUCCCCGUUGUCCACAUGGCUGGGCCCUGCAUGGGAGGAAAGAGGGGGCAUGAAGACAAACAGCGAGGAAAUUGGGGUUUCGGAGGGCAGGCCUGCCCAGAAUGCAUUCCUAUAAAUUCUGAAGGAAGAGGGUGGGAGAGACCCACCAUUCUGCUUUACAUAUGCAAGGAAUACGUGAGGAGCCUGAAUUCCUAGGAAAGGUGAGACAUCGGGGCAGAUACCGGCCCAUUCGCCAUGCUCCUUUCUCGCUGUGGGUGAAGAGAAGACGGUGAUGGACACUCUGGCUUCCGCUGCAGGAGCUCCACAGCCAGGGAACCCCUCUGCUCCCUUCGCCGUGUGAAAUCGCAUCUAGCUCCUCCACCGCAGAGGCACCGGGGCAGCACUGGAAACACAGCCCGAGGGUAACUCAAAAACCCAGGGCCGCUUUCAUAUACGCCUGAGGUUUACAACCACCCUGUAAAAUGCAGGGGGUGGCUCCUUCCACUGAAGUUACUUAUUCCUACAGAUGAGUCAAAACGGCACUGAAACAACAUAUCUUCCCUUCUUUCGUUCCCCUGAAAAAAAUCCCAAACCAUGGUCCUUUUCCCACUUACUCUGCUUAUCCUCCCAAGCCAGGAGCUGAAAUGGCCCUUUUUUCAAGCCUGAUUUGCUUAAUCUUCAAUUUUAGCCCAUGGAGUCAUUCAUGGGAGCUGAUGCAACCACAUCAACACCCCCUGAGCCGGGGUUUUUCAACCACAGCACCCCAACAUUCUUUGUGUCUCCCCAGUUCUAGGAGCAGUCAGUGCAGAUAGGAGCAGCACAGCAAUGACACCACACCCACAAAACCGGGCAAACAUAAUGAAUAAGAGAACUAAAAGUGAACGCGGCAGCAGCUUUACAUCUCAGUGCCAAUUUGAGAUUGGUAUUGCC
Molecule: long non-coding RNA, 1927 nt
Filed under: Homo sapiens (human)
Lineage: Eukaryota; Metazoa; Chordata; Mammalia; Primates; Hominidae
Description: non-protein coding lnc-THBS2-12:7
Source: RNAcentral